Molecule: long non-coding RNA, 156 nt
Organism: Juglans microcarpa x Juglans regia
Lineage: Eukaryota; Viridiplantae; Streptophyta; Magnoliopsida; Fagales; Juglandaceae
Exons: 2
Source: RefSeq, a predicted model, not a curated record
GGUCGCCAGCCGGUGGGGGAGCGAAUGAGCUGGGCGGGGGGGUGUCAGUCACGGCGGCGCGCGGCGGUGGCUGGGUGGAGAAGAAGAAAACGCACGGGGAAGAGGGAGAGAGGGACGUCACGCGCGGGAGAGGGAAGAGGGAGAGGAGAAAAGAAA